This 513-nucleotide ribosomal RNA is filed under the name uncultured bacterium. RNAcentral describes it as "partial 16S ribosomal RNA". It matches the Rfam family "Bacterial small subunit ribosomal RNA", at positions 28 to 523 of the family's 1533-position model. The record is from RNAcentral.
GACGAACGCUGGCGGCAUGCCUAAUACAUGCAAGUCGAGCGAACAGAUGAAGUGCUUGCACUUCUGACGUUAGCGGCGAACGGGUGAGUAACACGUAAGGAAUCUACCUAUAAGCGGGGGAUAACAUUCGGAAACGGGUGCUAAUACCGCAUAAUAUCUUCUUCCGCAUGGAAGAAGAUUGAAAGACGGCUCUGCUGUCACUUAUCGAUGACCUUGCGGUGCAGUAGGUAGUUGGUGGGGUAACGGCCUAACAAGACGCUGAUGCAUAGCCGACCCGAGAGGGCGAUCGGCUACAUUGGGACUGAGACACGGCCCAAACUCCUACGGGAGGCAGCAGUAGGGAAUCUUCCGCAAUGGGCGAAAGCCUGACGGAGCAAUGCCGCGUGAGUGAAGAAGGCCUUCGGGUCGUAAAACUCUGUUAUAAGAGAAGAACACAUUGUAGAGUAACUGCUACAGUCUUGACGGUAUCUUAUCAGAAAGCCACGGCUAACAACGUGCCAGCCGCCGCCGUAA